Molecule: ribosomal RNA, 412 nt
Filed under: uncultured eukaryote
Lineage: Eukaryota
Description: SSU rRNA
Rfam family: Eukaryotic small subunit ribosomal RNA
Source: RNAcentral
CCAGCAGCUGCGGUAAUUCCAGCUCCAAUAGCGUAUACUAAAGUUGUUGCAGUUAAAAAGCUCGUAGUCGAAUGUAGAUUGUACAGGUGCGCGGACGCUUCGGUGUAAACUUAAGUCGCCUGUGCACCACAAUCUCCCUGAUGUAGGACGGUUGUUCUGGAAUCCAGGACAAAUUCGCCGACUACAUACAUUACUGUGAACAAAAUAGAGUGUUCAUGGCAGGCCAUUUAGGCUUGAAUACCUCAGCAUGGAAUAAUAGAAUAGGACUUCUGGUUCUAUUUUGUUGGUUUUUGGAGCCGAAGUAAUGAUUAAUAGGGAUAGUUGGGGGCACUCGUACUCCGUUGUCAGAGGUGAAAUUCUUGGAUUGACGGAAGACGAACAACUGCGAAAGCAUCUGCCAAGGAUGUUUUCA